AAUUUUGGACAAUGGGGGAAACCCUGAUCCAGCCAUCCCGCGUGUAUGAUGAAGGCCUUCGGGUUGUAAAGUACUUUUGGCAGAGAAGAAAAGGUAUCUCCUAAUACGAGAUACUGCUGACGGUAUCUGCAGAAUAAGCACCGGCUAACUACGUGCCAGCAGCCGCGGUAAUACGUAGGGUGCAAGCGUUAAUCGGAAUUACUGGGCGUAAAGGGUGUGUAGGCGGUUCGGAAAGAAAGAUGGGAAAUCCCAGGGCUCAACCUUGGAACUGCAUGUUUAACUGCGGGGCUAGAGUAUGUCAGGGGGGGGGUAGAAUUCAACGUGUAGCAGUGAAAUGCGUAGAUAUGUGGAGGAAUACCGAUGGAGAGGGCAGCCCCCUGGGAUAAUACUGACGCUCAGACACGAAAGCGUGGGGAGCAAACA
Molecule: ribosomal RNA, 423 nt
Filed under: uncultured bacterium
Lineage: Bacteria
Description: partial 16S ribosomal RNA
Rfam family: Bacterial small subunit ribosomal RNA
Source: RNAcentral